CUCUGUUGCCUCCGGGGCGACCCUGCCUCCGGGCGGGGGCCCCGGGUGGACAUUUCAAACUCUUGCGUAACUUUGCAGUCUGAGUAAAUUUAAUUAAUAAAUUAAAACUUUCAACAACGGAUCUCUUGGUUCUGGCAUCGAUGAAGAACGCAGCGAAAUGCGAUAAGUAAUGUGAAUUGCAGAAUUCAGUGAAUCAUCGAAUCUUUGAACGCACAUUGCGCCCCCUGGUAUUCCGGGGGGCAUGCCUGUUCGAGCGUCAUUUCACCACUCAAGCCUCGCUUGGUAUUGGGCGACGCGGUCCGCCGCGCGCCUCAAAUCGACCGGCUGGGUCUUUCGUCCCCUCAGCGUUGUGGAAACUAUUCGCUAAAGGGUGCCGCGGGAGGCCACGCCGUAAAACAACCCCAUUUCUAAGGUUGACCUCGGAUCAGGUAGGGAUACCCG
RNAcentral lists this ribosomal RNA (441 nucleotides) under Cladosporium sp. UOM PLA11. RNAcentral describes it as "eukaryotic LSU rRNA". The stretch from base 106 to 259 matches the Rfam family "5.8S ribosomal RNA". Lineage: Eukaryota; Fungi; Ascomycota; Dothideomycetes; Cladosporiales; Cladosporiaceae. The record is from RNAcentral.